Long non-coding RNA from Thunnus maccoyii (southern bluefin tuna), 801 nucleotides. RefSeq lists it as uncharacterized. NCBI's taxonomy places the organism in Eukaryota, Metazoa, Chordata, Actinopteri, Scombriformes, Scombridae. The transcript has 2 exons. The record is from RefSeq and is a predicted model, not a curated record.
ACAACGGCUGUGUUAGAUUUGAGACAACACUACCCUGUCAAAAAUUCACACAUUAUGCAAUUAAGUACAUGUUGUACACAUUGUACUACAUGGAAGUGUACUACCAGAAGUAUCGAAACUGAGACACACUGCCAGAGACAGAUAAAUAGAAGAGAGAGAUGGAUAGAGGAUAGUGAUCAACACUAUUAUUGUUUAAGCAUCUACUGGGUGUCCUGUUGGUGUGGUCUCCAUGUGUGGCAUGGGGUGCAUUGCAUGGUGAUGGGCUGAUGGUAUACAGGUGUGCUUUGGUGUGACCUCCAAUCUGUGGUUACUUAACCAGCCACACACACACUAGAGUCAGUCAGUUUGCUUGCCUCCUCUUGUGUGCAGAUAUAGACUUUAAUGGUUGUAUCUGAUGUAGUUUUUAAGUGUUUUUCCUUGUGCCAGUAUAAGAAUCUGAGUGUUUAUUGUGGCGGUGUGCUGAAUCUGCUGCUGGUUUUCCACUACAUGAAACAGCUGGGUGGAUGUCUGGAGAGCUGCAAGGUGCAGUGUAGCAGCUGGUUAGCAGAGCCACCAGAAAACACAGUCCAACAACAUUGAUGCAGCAACCGACCAGUCACAAACCAGUGACCAGCAACAGCACAGCGGUUCUUGGCGUGAUAGGUUUGGCUUCACCAUAUGCAGGGAAGAGAAGUUGAGCACAAGCAGCCACAAACAUCCUAUUGACCCCUAUCCAACUGACUCUUUGCUCCCCUGGCUUUGGUCUUGUUUUAGCUUUAUUUAUUAGAAGCUAUCCAUUAAAAUAGUUAUUUUUUAACUACA